Non-coding RNA from Acanthosepion pharaonis, 111 nucleotides. The record is from the annotation of a GenBank genome assembly. NCBI's taxonomy places the organism in Eukaryota, Metazoa, Mollusca, Cephalopoda, Sepiida, Sepiidae.
UACGGCCACAACAGGUUGAAACAUUGGUUCCAAUACGAUCACUGAAGUUAAGCAACAUCGAACCUGGUCAGUACCUAGAUGGGUGACUGCUGGCGAUUCCCAGGUGCUAUA